RNAcentral lists this long non-coding RNA (868 nucleotides) under Populus trichocarpa (black cottonwood). Its description in RNAcentral is "long non-coding RNA (PTRI_LNC001700)". The record is from RNAcentral. Lineage: Eukaryota; Viridiplantae; Streptophyta; Magnoliopsida; Malpighiales; Salicaceae.
GGCCGUGGGAUUAGUCGUGGUGCGUGCAAGCUGGCCCGGACACCCACGUAAAUCAAAAAAAAAAAGAAACGCUCCGUUUAAUCCAUUCGCUUUUGGCUGAAACAAAACUUCAAAGUCCAUGGCCGCUUUUGUUUCAUUCGGUCUUGUUAUUUCCCUCUGUGCCCUUAACUCCUCCACUGCUUCCUCAUCCAGAAUUUAUUCCAAAAUAAUACUGAUGAAUACAGCCGCAAGGAACAGAGUGGCUGCUUCUAUAAAUAUUAUAUCAAAGCAUAACUGCGUCAUGUGCCUGGCAGUUUUAUUGAGUCUCUUCUUUUUGAUGCGCAGAAGAACAUCAACAUUAGGCGCUGACAAAUCUUUCGAAGAAUUUCCCACGGCUGUCAAGCUUCAACUAGGCAAAUCCGGUCCUUUUGCCUCAACCAACAAUGGUGUCAAACCAAAAGAAAUCAAAUAAUCAACGAAGAAAAAGCAAAUUAACAACUGAAACCUAUAAGCUCGGCCACCGACAACCCUAUCUCCCAUGGGAAACAACCUGACAAAGAAAUGCAAAAGGGCAGCACAUUCAGCAGCCAUGGAGAGAACAAAAAUCCCAACCCAUCAUCCAUGGCACACAAAAAGCAAAGGAAAAGGACACAAAACGGUCUGGUUUCGACAGUAAAGGAAGUAGAAAUCGAGACUAAAGAGAUGCAGCUGAAAGGAGAAUGAAUCCCCUUCACGGCACGACGCCAUUUAAUAUAGUUUUUUAUCCAUUAAUUUAUCCGGCCGGGUGAACCUCCGGGCUCCGACUAACUAAAUAUCACGUGAAGAAAGUUUUCUUCAGCGUUUGCAAUAAAUUUGGUUUUGUUUUCCUGGUCCAGUUAACAAAGUUUGU